RNAcentral lists this long non-coding RNA (251 nucleotides) under Gossypium barbadense (sea-island cotton). RNAcentral's name for it is "long non-coding RNA (GBAR_LNC014512)". Lineage: Eukaryota; Viridiplantae; Streptophyta; Magnoliopsida; Malvales; Malvaceae. The record is from RNAcentral.
UACACAAAACUUCAAGAAUUUUAAAGAAAAAAUUUAGUACAAUUGAGGAGGCCUGGUGAGGCAGUGAAUUUCAAAUAACACUUGCAUCAGCAUCACCACGGUUUCAAGUCCCCAACUGGUCCUGCUGUCCAGUUCAAAAUCUUUUCACCAGGCUUCAAGUAUAUACUCUUCUGAUGUGGCAAUUUACGAGCUAGCCCAUUCAAUAUUUGAUGGAAAGCAUCUCCUGGCAGUGCAGGUUGCGGGAACAACAU